UCUGCGUGGCCCCGUGCGGUUCGGGCUCUGCAGUAAUCGGUGCCGCUGCGGGUUAUAAAUAAACACCGUAAAGCCCCCGCUGCUUACGCGUCGGAGGGUUGUGUAAGACUUUCGGCUUCCUUAAAAAAAAUAUCCAAAUAAAGCCAUUGUUGUCUUCCUCUGUGAGGGGCGAAGAAGUUUAGAAACUUUUAUGCAAGAGCUCAGAAAUCGGCAAAUGUGUAAAAUGACCCAGACUUGGAUCUGUCACACCUCAUGAUUGAUAACCGAGGACCCUCUGACAUGAGCGCGGCUGGGACGAUCCGAGCUCGAGCAGCUUUACAGGCACAGCACACGUGGGAGCGUGUGCUGCUAAACACGCACUGGGAUGCGGUGCAAUACCCGAAAUGUGAAAUGCAGUCAAGGUCGCAGCUAAUAGCUGUGGGGAGUUCAACUCAACUGCAGCAACCCCCUGGGAAACAGGAAAAGAUGAACUGUCAAGUCAGGCUUUAUUGUGGGAGGAGUGGAGCAGCAGGAAGGAGCAGAGCAGAGGGAGAAGCCAGCACAAGUUUUCCUGGAGGUUUUUUGUCUUAUUGGUGUUGGAGAUAUUUGGCCAAAAGGUGCUAACACAAUGCACAAGUUUGGUGUAGAUGGCAAGAAAAAGAGUUUCAUUAGAGCUAAUGAAGCAUCUACUGCCUUGUCUGAGUUAGUAAUUUGGAACAUGUUACUUGAAUAAACACAAAAGUGAAAAACAAAGGCAGAGUGAAGCAGCUCAGGGAAGCCCAACAAAGAAAAGAAGGAACAGGAAUGGAUGGUUCUAGUCACAGAGGAAGGACAGUAGAAGAGUGGAAGGGCAGGGGAAUCAAGUAGUAGGAAUGGGAGGCUAGCUCCAAGGCAGUGGAUAAUAGCAGAGAUAUGUAUGAAGCCAAGAAUUUUGUUUCUAAUACUUAUUUCCUCACAAUUUCUCCUUGAACACAACUCUUCUUGAUGGACAAGUUACUGGGACAGAGAAGAAGAGGACUAGACACCCUUGUAAAAGAGGCUUGGGAUAAUUACACAUGACACAGGGAGUACAAUUCAUAAAUUAAACAGCCCUGAGAAAAGCUGGGAGAGGGCCCCAAAAUCUGCAUGCAAGGAAGAAGAGCAUUUGAAAUUCUGGAUCCUGUGGAGACCACUGAUGGAUUCAGAGCCAAUCAUGCCAAGGGCUUGAGGCUUUCUAGGAAAAAGAGAACGUUUUCUGUUUGGUGAGGAAAAGGAAACAUGAAGGAACACUUACUUGAUAGGCCUUUGGUGUCAAAUCUACAAGCUGGGUGUAGUAACGUGGCAGAUGUUGGCAAAGUCUGUCUAAUGAAAAUUCCUGUAAUUUUUCACCGACCUUAAACUAUCUCUGUGGCUGUGAAGAAUAAGUAGCAAGAAUCCCUUGUGAUGUGAUAGCAUUCUUAUUAUUUUCCUUUGUUGCAAAUGUACUUUACAGAGGAACAAAUGAAUUAGCUUAAUCAUGAAUUAACUACACUUUGAAUGGCACCGUGUGGCUGUCAGUGCUGCAACUUUCUUCUUCCUGCAGUAUGAAAAUUGCAUGUGCAUAACUGGAGACAAAUCCCUCCAGAUGCAGUGUUGUUAUUUCUGUUAUUUUUGAAAUACCAAAAUCUGGACAUCAAUGUUAUCCAUGAGAGAUGUCCUGGCCUGACCAGAUAUUAAUCCCAAAUGAGCUCAAGCACUCCUCUAAAUCAGUUCUGAAUGCAGCCUAAAGUGCACCCAGCACUUUAUAUUUCCCACCAUACUAUGAUGGAGAUGACAUAUGCAUUAAAGUGUUGGAUUUAUGCAGAUUUGCCAAGAGGGCAGUGGUGCACAAAUAGAGCUGUGUUUAACUGAAAGGACAUGUGCUCCCCAUACGGAUGCGGUCAUGGUUGCUUAGGCUCUGAAUGAGUUCAUAUUGCACUUCUCCAGAAGAAAACAUUUGCUAAGUAUUUCUUCGGGCUAAUUUUUUCAUGCUGCAAAUAGUAGUUGUCAUCAUCUCACCCAACACACAGGUUUCAAGACACAAGCUGUCAGAACAUACUGGAAUGGUUUGUUUCUGUGAAAGAUGAUUGCCAGGAAGUACCUGCCUCUCCUAUAUUGCGUGAGCAAACCCUUGAUAUCAUCUCUGUGUUCCUCAGUGACUACCUCAAGUGGUUUGUUCUCAGUACAUUGCCUGUCAGAGACUCCUUUGAAGUUACCUAACUCCCUUAGUGCUGCAGGGGACCCAGAUACUCAGCUCUUAAUUUUUGGUAACCAUCUACGGCUAUAAUAGCCUCAUGAGUAUUCUCCAUACAUGUUGAAGUGUUUUGGGUUUGGUUUUUUUGUGAUUGGUUGGUUUUUUUUGUUUUGUUUUUUUUUUUUCAAAGCAAACAGAAAGUUGCUCAGCUUGGGUCCAAAAAGGAAUAAUUUGUAUUUUGAAGGGGUCUAUUUAGAUUAACCUAAAAUUACUUAAUUUAUUAAGAAUGUGCCUGUACAGCCACCCCAGGCACCAAGAUGGUAAUUUUGGUUUUAAUUUUGUCAUAUAUGUGGCCGAAAAAGCACAGAAUAACCUCCAGGCUAUGUUCUCUUUGUGAAGGGGUUCCUCUUGCUGUAGCACCACAUGGUGUGUUGCCUCCAGCUCACACAUUUCCAGUGGGAGAGUUCUCUCUUCCAAACUCUCUUGUUCUGUGAACCACACAACUGACCACAAACAACCUGAAAUCUUUCUGUCUUGAAUUUCCAGCCAAUUUUCACUAUAGGCCAUUGCUCAGGCAGUUCUAAAUGGAAAGGUGCAUAAGAAGAGCCUUGACAAGGGAAGUUACGUGAUCUCAAACCCAUGAUGCUCUUUCUUCUCCUCUCCCCUUGACACCCAUGCAUACACAUAAAUAAAGAAAUACACCCACCUAUUUAUCUCCCUUUUGUGGGGUAAUUGCCUAGGUUGUGGCCAGACUGCAGUGCUGGUGCAGAGACAUACGAGCUCCAUGGGCUUGUGUGGUUCUGUGCAGGCUCCUUAGCUGAGGCUUGGAGCUGGACCUGCCAGGACCAAGGCUGGAGCUGUGCUGAGGCAGCUCAGGGGAUGUUACCCAUGUGCCAGAGCCAACUGUUUAUUCUGGUAACUUGGGCUGCAGAAGCAGGCUGUGCCUGGGCUAGGAGGCUUGCCAGAUACCAUGUGUAUUGGAGAACACUGCAGAUGAAACCAGGAGGACCUAGUGGGAAUGUGGGAGCCAUGGAAAAAAAGUAAUCUCACUGUUUAGAGCAUCAUAAAAAAAUUAUUACAAUGAACAGCAGAGAAUGGACUUUACUCCCACUCAUCUCUUUGCACUCAUCUGCCCAAUGAGUAUUUUAGCUGCAAAUUAUAAAGGUUGGGAUCCUUGUCAUCUUAUUCUUCCACUUAUCAGUGUCAGCUGCAGACAUGUUACAGACAAGUGGCAAUCAACACCUUUCAAUCAUGUAGCAAAUCUUCAACUGUUACCUAAGCUGCAAAAUCUGGAGGGAAAGAAACCUCAGAUUUACAAAUACCUUCACAUACUCCAUACAGGUUUGUGCUAAUUUUUAUGCUUACACCUACUGAGACAGUUUCUGUGGGCAAAAACCCCACACCUCAUCCAGCAACUAAAGUCAUUGCAAAUAAGGUCACAAUACUACUUUUCCACAAAAAUCCUCUUAUUUGGUGAAUGAGGUGGCUCUAUGGUAUCUGCUUGAAAGAGUCCAAAGGCUUUGGAGGGAUCCAAGAAAGCUGAUUGAUAUUUAAGCUUCACCUCCUCCAAGGUCAACAGGGGUCCAUCUUAAGGAGCAGGAAGUCAGGCAAAAAUGCCAGGAGACCUGCAUGGAUGAACAAGGAGCUUCUGGCAAGAUUAGAACACAAAAAUGAAGUAUAUAGAAGGUGAAAGCAGGGACAGGAGACCUGUGAAGGAUAUAGAGAUGCUGUCCAAGAGGGCAAAACACAGAAAAGGCAAAGACCAACCAGAAUUAAAUCUGGUGAGGGGUGUCAAAGGCAACAAGAAGGCUGUCUGUAAUUAAAUCAGUCACAAAAGGAGGACUAGGGAAAAUGUGUACCUGCUGCUGCUGAAGGUGGCAGGGGCCCUGGUGACACAGGACACAGAAAAGGCCAAGCUACUGAAUGCCUUCUUCACCUCAGUCUCUACUAGAAAAACCUACCCUCAGCAAUCCAAGGACCUGGAGACAGGGGGAAAGUUUGAAAGAACACUUAAGUGAGGUGGAAGAGACUCAGGUUACAGAAUACUUAAGCAAACUGGACAUGGACCCCAGUGGGAUGCACCCAAAAAUGCUGAGGAAGCUGGCUCAUGUCAUUGCAUUUUGAUUAUCUUUGGAUGAUCAUGAUGACUUGGAGAGGUGCAUGAAAACUGGGGGGAAAGCAAAUGUCACUCCUAUCUUCCAAAAUUACCUGAAGGAGUACUCGAGGAACUAUGUGUUUUAAUGACAAGCUACUGGUAACCCUCUUCUCCAGUCUGUGACAGCCUCAGCCCUCUAACCUGGAAACAGCACAGAGGUGGUUCUGGUGCUGGGUUGCAAAUUCAUUCCAUUGAUUAGAGCAGCAACUGUUUGCUUCCUUCAGAACCCAUCCAGACUUCAUUUUGCCCAGACCUUUUUUUUUCCCCUUUGUACUUUGCUGCUGAAAAUAAGCUGCAGGUGAGAAAUUAGGAAGACCUCUGAAUGCUAGUUUGAGUGCCAGCCUUCAAGUAUCUGCUGGACAAGGCUUGGCUCUCUGCUGGUUGACAUGCAGCCUUAGUGCAGCCUCAGAAAGUUCAGGUUCAUGUUUAUUUGCUUGUUUUUAUAGGCUCCCAUAAUUUAAAAUAAAGGAAAGAAAAAAACAGUAACUUUUAGGAUAAUAUGACUUUUGUAGCUCAGCCGACCCCUUAACAGAAUUUUGUGGCAUAAAGGAAAACCAGAAUGCUAGCCUUAGAGUUUAGUCCUUGCCAGAUUUUAAGAUUAACUACAUAAAUGUGGAGCAUGUAUGUGGUUUUCGAAAUAGGUGACACAAACCUUUGCAUAAUAAAAAUAGUUCAUCAGUUGAAAUAAGAGAUUGCAACCAGAUCUUAUUUUUUAUUUCAUCUUGUGGCAAACUGAAAUCCUGAAUAAUAAUUAAUAAUAAUGAUAUGAUAAUGAAUUAUAUUACAUUAUCCUAAUCAUCCUUAAUUACAUUAACUGAUAAUGGGAUUUACAUGCCAUUUCAGUCACAUCUGUAAAUAUGCAGAUCUUGACUGCUUUGGUCAAUAGGCUCUUUAGCAGGAGCUGUUUCAGAAGAAUCUAUUGUAGCUCUAAUAUGCUUUCUAGCACCACGACACACACAGGAUCCCUGUUUUCUGCCUGAACUGACAGUUCUCUGUUCUUGCCUAUCAGUCCUUCCACAAAGGCUGCACAGAAAUUCCAGUCGUGUGAGUUAUACGAAAGGUCAAUCUCAUUUAUGUGAUAGCCAACUGAGAAGAAGUAGUGCUGAAGUAUCUUGCCAGCUACAGUGCUAGGAAGAUCAUGUCACUGUAGUUUUUGGGCUUUUGAAACAAAUCUGUCAGACACAUUUUCUACGAAGCAAUGUCAAGCCACUCUUUAGCUCCAAUGCUUUGUAGUUCAACAUAAUGCUAUGCUCCAUGAACACAGGAUGAACUGGGAGUCUUUGAGUGAAUAUGUACCCAAUUAAAAGUAAAUUGUCAGCCACACUUCACAGGGACUAAUUCUGCUUUAAACACCAGGUGUCACUGCAGUAUACUCCUGACUCCACACCAACCUCCUGUCAGGUUAAAGCUUUACUUUUAAGUGAUGUCAAAGCUUAUGGAGAACAAAGAUGCUUGCACUUUCUGUUCCCAAGUGUCUCCACGCAGCUAUAUGAUUAGCCAGAAUCUGGGAAAACUGUUCAAUAUUUCAACCAGCCACAUUUAUGGUUCUAUGUGGUUGGCCUCAAACAUGAAGCUAACCAUAGUAAUAGAGCGAUUUUAUAGCUGAUAGCAAUUGUUCAGAAUGAAGACUAAGAAAAAAAAAAAAUCCGUGAAACAGUUCUCUUGAUAAUAAUACUGCAUGCGCUUUUUUUCCCCCAAAAGAUCAGCCUGUAUUGGAUAAUAUUCAACAGUUACUUAAUACAAAAUUUAUAUCAAAUUGCAUAAUUUGCAGCUUCCUGGCCCAUGAACAAAUGUUCAGGAAAAAGCAAUCUUCUUUUGCACUUAUCAGAUUCUGAAUGAUUUUGCACAUGAAAUAUUCCUUAUUUUUACAAAUUCUCUAUUUGACCCAAAACCUUGUAUCUUUUGAUUAUUAAAAUAUACUUACCCAGAUUAAACAUUAAAAAGCCAUCACUUUGACAAUGAACAGAUACUACUUGUCUAAUUUCUUCCAUCUCCUAGCUUGGUGCAACUACUCCCUGUUUGCACUGUGAAUUUUCCAGGAACUUGUUAAUCAGUAACUACUUAGUAUUAUACUAAGUGGGUAAAGCUGCCCUUUUCCUAUCUGUAAUUAAAGAUAAUGAGGAGGAAGGUGCAAGUCAUGGAGAGUGCAAGACCCAAAAGGUUAGGUAAAACCUAAAAUUAGCCUCAUGCUCUAGUGUACAAAGGAGCCUUGUUCCAGUGACAUGCUUAAAAAUGACAUUUCUUUGUGUUAGACUUACAAGCAGAAUCUGUGUUACAUAUUCAGCAGUGGUCCUAAGUCAUCUGCCUCUGAAAUGCUUCAGGAUGCUCUUAAAAGUAUUUCUACACAAAUGAGUCUUGCUACUGACAGAGCAGUGCAGCAAAUGGAUGGGGAACAUUACCUAGAGAGCAUCUAUAACAAAGGAAAAGGAAUCAAAUGCCACAGCAAUUUCAGAGGAUAAUCCAUAGGGCUGGUAAUUGCAAGUUUAAAAAUGCUGAAAGCUGCACAGCUUUGAAAGGCUCAAACCUAAUAUUCUUACCUGCAUUAAAGAGCAUAGUGCCACUAUUCAUGGCAGUCCCUGCUUUAGUCAGAGACAACUUAAAGUUGGUGCUGUUGUGUGCAUGCUUGAAUCUUGGCAGGACUGUGGCUUUGGGAGGAGCAAGGAGCUAUAUAUCACAGAGAAGUCUUAGUAGUUCUUGUCAGAUAAUGAAAUCAGCACAAAAUUCCCAGAACAAACAGAAUUCUAUAAAAUAAUGCAGGUUUUAAGACCUGCAGGAUGAAGUGACUGCAAGGACUGAAUAAUACAUUUGUUAAGAAAACAACAAAAAGAAGCACAGAUAAAAACUGACCAACCAACCACUAAAACAAAAGACAAGGCUUAUUUAUUGUGGUUUAUUCUGUCUGUCUAUUGAAUUUAUAUAUAGAUUUUAAUCCAAUGAAUUUUGCCAGGAUUUUUGAAUUAAAUUAAUUUCAUUGCAAUGUAACAUGUUUCCCAUUUGACAUAAUUUACAUGGAUUUCCAAUGAAUUUGAGUUAUUUGCAAAUAUAAUAACCAGAGAAAAUGGCAGAGCCUCUUUUAAAUGCUUUCAGAGAAUACAGUACAGAAUCAUAUGAUUUUUUUUUUUCUGCAUAUAAACAAGUAACUAUUAGGAUGCUACUGUACAUAAAUAAAACCUGUAUUUUUUAUUAUUCACCUAUGUUCUUACUUUUAGAUAACUGCUUCAUAUGUUCAUGUAGCAUUUUUCCCCCAGAAAUAUUUACAUAAAACUUUCUACAUUUACAGUAAAUAACCAUAAUUGCCUACUGUGCUUUCAGCUGAAUUGGCUAUAGAAAUGUCUGAUGAAGAUUCUUGGAACAAAGGUAUGACUAAAUUACAUAAACCUGUGUAUACUAUUACAAAAUAUUGAGAGGAAUUCAAUGGCAUUUGUUAAUUUACAAAAUGCAAUUUAGUGUUGGAUGUGAACUGCUCUAACAGUAGGAUAAGCCCUGCAAUUACAGUUAAACUACAAUUUAUAGAACAUACAUUCUGCAAAACUACAGUAUUCCAGUGUUUGCAGUGAUGUUGAUUAAAGCAUUUGAUUUCAAACAGGUAGCAAGCCAAAUAACUCUUCAUGUAGCAAACAAGCCUUAGCUAUUGCCAUCUCAGAAGUCUGCAUGCAUUGACUCCAUGCAUUGUGUAUAUGGCACAGUCAUUGAAUCACUGAGCUGUUCCCACUGCCCACAGAGCUGAACUUCACAGGAUAUUCCACUAUAUCCACUUUAAGAUAGCCAGGACAGUCCUAAGCCUCUAUUUGCACAAGCUCAUACUGUUUUGAGGAUGUUUUGCAGUUCUGUGUCAGUGAUCAGAGACUUAAAUAGUUGUCCAGAAAACACUUUUUGUUGCUAGAACACUGUGUAAGAGAACUUUGCUGGGAGAUAUUCCAGCAACACGUAUUUUUUCCAUUAUAAAACAAUGGAUAAAAUAAACAAUGUCUGUAUUUACAUAUUCUUAUGCACUAUGUUCUUAGUAUGCAGUGUUCCAUAUAUAAAGUAAUUUUAUAGUGAAGCUCAUAUAGCACCCAAUUUUAAGUGACUCUCACUGAGACACGAUUUUAAUAAUUAGCUAUUAGACAUAAUUAUACCUAUAACUGACUAUUUUUUGUUGUUUUUAUGGAAGUCAUAUCACUAAUAUAAAAAAAAGAAAAUACAUUUCACUGAAAAUACAAACAAAAGUACGUAUCACUAAACCAAACUUCUGAACUCUUAGGGCCCAAUCCUGCAGCCUUGGCUCAUGCAAAGAAUUCUAUUUAAAUAAAGUAAUCCAGUUAGGGUUGGGUUUUUUAUUAGUUUGGGUUUUGGUUUUAUUUCUUGCUAAAAUCCCCAUAUCAUGCAAGUCCAGAUCUACACAUGGUGCUUAUUUUAGUGCAUUUACAUUUGUCCAUGUUGGGUCUCUAACAGAACAAAAACAUGUAUUUAGAAUUCAUUAAUUUCCAUUCUGUUGAUAUGGAGGCUUGGUAAAAGAUAAUCCAGCUGCAUCAUGGUUGGGUGGUCAUGGCUUGAUCCUGCCUCUCUUUAUAUAGGGAAUACUGAGAAGAAUAAACAAAUUUAUCCAUCUUUUGUGAGACUCAGCACCCCCUCCCUUUAACCUUUUCUACCUUAAAAAUCUUUUCAAAACAGGUUGUCUGUGGGACGGGGGAAAUGCAAAUGAAACUUAGCUAUUGUUACUUUAUUUUUCUUCCUAGCUGCUGCUGUGGGCUGUACCUGACAGUGAAUGCUCUUUUGUGGUUCUGAAUGUGGGCUCUCAUCACACUUUCAUCUAGAAAGACUGGUCAGACUGAGGAGAAGCAGCUCACAUCCCCUUUCUUAAGUUAAAGGGGUUGGGACUGUGAAGCAAAGGGCCAUUCCUAAAUAGUCAUUGCCACAGAGAUGAGGUGAGAUGAGAUGAUGAGAUGAGACAAUGAGAUAGAUGAUGAGAUGAGAUAGAUGAGAUGAGAUGAGAUGAGAUGAGAUGAGAUGAGAUGAGAUGAGAUGAGAUGAGAUGAGAUGAGCGCUGCUAGAAAUCAUGAAGUUGGUACAUGCAGAAACUCAGGAGCCACCACAGUGGCUCAUUUCAAAGAGCUGUCUGCUGGUAGGAUGUUCUGAGGAGACUGGUUAUAUGACCUUUCUCAGUCUCAGAUACAAAGAGCAAAUUCCAGUAUCCUCAGACAUGUGAGAAAGCAGGUUCUUGUGCUCUUAGAUGUCUCUUUAAUAAUGCAUUUAAACAUUGUGACACUUCACAUCUUAUGUGUGUCUUUAACUGUCAUGUGAGUGCUUGCAAGCUACAGAAUUUCUUGCCUGGAAAGAAAGUGAAGACCCCCACAGAUGUCUUCCAGACGGGAUGUGAGUACCUCAAAACAUCAGACUGAAGUCCAGGCUUCUGAGUCUCACAGGCACAUUGAAAAGGUCCCGUUCAGGAGUGUUAAUGUCAUGCAGUUUCUGUGCCCUCUGUACAACUGUCAUAUUUCACUAAGGACAAAAGAGAUUCUCAGGUGGUGACAGGUGAACAUAGUGGGGAAGAGCAGUUCCAUAAAUAAGAGGGUAGUCCAAAUCCUACCUAUGCUGAAAGUUAAAAUAUGAGUUAAAAUUGUUCUAUUUUUAGAUAUUAGGAAUUGAAAACAUCAGAAUUGUCUCCUUUUUUUUUUUAAUAGUAAAAGGAUUUGUAGUAUUUCAGCCCCCUACUCAAUAUAGCAAGAUUAAAAGGUUAUAUUGUUUUGUAGUGAACAGGAGGCGUUCUGAAAUCCCAAAUGAAGCAUUCUGAAGUUACUUACAUACCUUAUAAAUAAUCUGAGCCAAUUGUUGCAUUAUCAUAAAGUAUAGGAAAUGACAUACCUGCUUUCUAAAUGAAAAAAAAAUAAUUGUAUUUUCUGUACAAACACAUGCUAGUUAAAAUUAGCCAAUGAAUUUGCAGAGACAAAACCCUUGUCAGACUGUGCUAUUAUAACAAUAAACAAACACCACAAAUGAAAGCCAAUAUUUAGGAAUGUGUAUGGCAAGAGAGCACCACAUACAGUAAUCUAGUGGCUGUGCAAAAACAGUGAGCAUCUUUACCUUUACAGAAACAUCCAUAUUUUUAGGCACUUUGCUCUGGCAAUGACUUCAGCCACCACCUUCCCAAAGAGAUGCUACAAAUCAACUUCAGCACCAGGAUAUGAAAUUGUAUUAACAGUAAUUAUGUUCCCUGCUCCCAGGAAGAGACCUGUCCUUGAAAGUCUUCAGCACACCACCAAAGGAGCACCUGUCAGGCUAAGCAUCUUUCUGCAUUCUUCUGUUUUGCAGCAGACUGCCACACCAAAUUACUUGUGAGGCAUGUAAAAGCCUUAUUCAGGCAUACUUCAACCUCAAAAAAUAAAACUCAUCUGAAAUAACUGGUUAUUUGCCCAAGAGCAAGAGCCCCUCAUUGGAGUGUGGUUCAAAUUAAAAUGUUUGAUACAGAAACAGAUUUCUUACAGUCAUGUGGCAAACAAAUGUAUAUGCACAACAGGAGACAGAAAAAAAAAGUCCUUGAGCUGGGCUGCGAUGUUUGCAGCCCCACAGUGCACAGAUGAGAGUUCUGUCUCUAGCUGCUUCCAAGCCAAGUCACUUGGCCUUGAAUGGCUGCUUUUGAACACCCGUGUCCCAGCCUAGGCAGGGCUGUCACAUGGGGUGACUCCACCCUGGCUGAGUGAGAUGAGCAAGAGACAGGGCAGCACUGUCACCUUUUGUAGUCAAGAGUAGCACAGUUAACAUGCAGUUCUGGAAAGCAGACAGUACCAGAGAGAGCACUCUGUGUCACAGACUUACACAUGCAAACUAUUUAUCCAGCAUCUUGUGAAAGCACCAUUGAAAGGUUGAACUGAGAGCACCGCAUACACGGAAUUGUGUUCAAAACAGCGGACAGGAGCUGCUCAGGGAGCCAUGGGGAAGCAUGCAGCCCUGCAGGAUGGAUUCCUUGAAGGCACGGUAGAUAGAUGAGGGCUUGGAGAACAAGGCAGCUGGUCAUCAGCCAGUUGAAAUUAUGGGGAUGACCCAGUUCUGGGUUACUCAUGAAUAUGAAUCCCCACGCCUACUCAUCUGUCACUCCAUGGAUCCUGCUACAUGUAAGCAAGCCUGCAAUUUAUAUUAAUAGAAAGACUGAAGCAACAAAUUGUUCACAGCUGACAUGAACACCACCUCCCUGAAUGCUCACUAUUGUAAAACCUAGGUUCUUCAAAAGAAGACUGAUAAUUCUUAUUGCAAAGCUUAGUCAUCAUAGCUACAUUACUGGGCUUUUUAGUGGAUGUUUGUGAGUGACUAUUGCUAUUGUAGGGCUGACUGAGGUCCAGUACACUAAAUGUGUCUCUAUAAAGAUGUUUCCAAGUUGGGACAAGUAAAUGUUGGGUUUGUCCCUGUGUACUUCUGAGUUAAACCACAUACAGUGUGGAAAAGAGUAUGGAAGUACUAGCUACUUUGUAGAAAAGGCACUAUAACUGAUCUGAUAAUUAGAUACAUGCCCAUGCUACAGGUAUCUGCAAAGAAUUUAUUUCUCUCUCUGACUGAGAAAGUUAUUCUACACUUAUGAACUGGAUGACUGGUUUACAUAUUGGAUUAGCACUGGUUCAGGUACAUGGUAAGAACAACUCUCAUGGGAGACACAGAUUCAUGGAAAAGUUGUCUGAACUGCAUUUCCUGUUUUCUGCCAGUUCCCAGAGGGAAAUCAAAAAGAUCUUUUCACUACUGCAGUUAUACACAUAUUACUGCACGGUUGGCCUUACUGUGGCAAUUUGAUGAGAGAUUUUAUUGUACAGUUGUGCUAAAAAAAGGAGGCAAAGAAAUAGACUGUGAAGUUUCCCCAGAAAAUAUCACCAGAUAACAAAUACUUCAUUUUGGAUGCUGACAUUUUAUUUAGGGAUAUGGUGAAAGAGUUAAAAACAGCAGUAAAGAGACAAGUAGAAGAGACUCCCUUUUCUUGACAGAUUAAUCUCUUUGGGGAUUACUGCUGGAAAAAUCUUUCUAUCAAAUAUAUUAAUGAAAAGGAAGCAUUGACAACAGCCAUAAAGGAACAGGUAUUACAUAUGGAAAGAGGGAACUAAACCAGCACCUUGAUUCUUUGUCAAGAAAUGUAAAAACUCACUUGCCAACCUUGGACUGAAUUCUAAAACAAUUUCAUUUAGCAUUAAACUACAUAAUGGAGAUUAUGCAGGACUCCCCCACACAUCCUUGUUCAGGAGGGUAAUUAUUUUUUGCAGCUUUUAAGUCCAGUGUGUGUGGAUCUCAAGACUGAGGGCAGGUACAUGUCCUGAAAGCAGCAAUUCAAAAUGUGAAUAGCUUCUCCAUGAGACUGAGGUCUGAUGAACCAUUAAAAGGUUGUGACCAGCCUGAAAGUAAGUUAAAGAGGAAGGAAUGUGCCACUGCAGCACUGCAGACAUGGCACCAGCUCCCAGUGCAAGGCUGUAUGAGACGGGUUAAAAACAGAAACCAAAGAAAGAAGAGAGGGGGAGGACAAUUUUUCUUUCACUGUGUAAAAGGGAAGUCUUGGGGGUUUCAGGAGCGGUUGUCAGAGCAGAUGAAAGAAAGGACAGAAAGACUUAUGUCCCUUCCUACAAAGCAACAUUUCUGAUCUGGCUAUGAAAAACAGAAUGACUGGACAAUCCUCCACCAUCCUCUGACCUGCUGGUCUCAAUGGGGGUAUUUCUAGAGUGAUGUUUGGUUUUCUUCUUUUGCACCUUAAAAUUUACAAUCAAGAAUUCUGUGCUAUUCUUUGCUUUCAACUGACAUUGUCUCAAGAUAUCUUUGAAUUGGUCUUGAAAUUGAAUCUAGUGAACCUGACAAACCCCAUGUUCCUACUGAUUCUCCAAAAGCAGUCAUCCAUGUAAAGGGAUAACUACAUCUUGAGAUGUAUUUGGGAAUUUCAGGAGUUGAGGUAUGCCUGCCACUAAGCUGCAGGAGUCAGACUGAGGACUACAUAUAUAAACUGGUACCCCUGAGCAAGGAACAGACAGCAAACACAUAGUUGAAGACAGAAGCGGUUCUCCACAACAAGUCUUCUGAAACAUGGUGCAUCUUGUCUUUGGCCUUAAACAGUGUAAAGUAGGAGGAGAGAACAUUCAAAGGUGAAUUCACAUUCAAGGAAACAGAAACAAAAACUUUUAUAAAAGGAAAAACUCCAGAAAGCAGAACCACAGUCAUCCUAGAAAAGCACUGUAGUGGAAGCAAAGGGUUUGCUGCAGCUGUCAAAACAUGGCAGCAUGGUCAAGAACAGGAUGGAUGUAGAGUGGUCUGAACUGCUUCUCCUCCAGGGAAGAGAGUCGUAGAUCGAGUGUGCUGCACUGCUGCACAAGGUCAGGAUCCACGAAGUUUGAACCACCCUGUGGGCAGAGGUUGACUGCACAACUGCACUGCUCCUCAGAGCUGUACUACUUUCAGGCAAAGCCUGUAAAUCAGCACACUUCUCUCAGUUAUGAAGCUAUUUCUAAUAAAUGUGUGUAACCAGAUCUAUGUUUGCUCUUUAUAGUACCAAGUCAUGUUGAGAACUGACCAAGCAUCCGAGAAGGGCUCAACCUUCAAAACCCAGUACCAACUGAGCUGAAAUUAAACCUGCUUUGUUUACUACAGAAUAAGCCAACCUCAGUUCAUGUACUGUUUAUUUUGAAUUAAAAAUAAACUGUUCUUCAAGCACAUGCCAGAUAGUACGUACGUGAAUGUUGCCAAGCUUGGACUACAACUUAUACUUGUGUCCAAAUUACAAGUGUAUGCUUAUAUACAUGGGGAUAUGUGCACAUGCAUGUCACACAAUGCUUGUUCUUUACUGUUGGACUAUUCUUGUACCAUUGUACUAUUUAUUGUAUUAUUCUUGAAGAAAAAAGGUAGCAAUCCAGUACCUGCUUAUUUCAUCCAAGCACUGUACCUUGUUUUUCACAGUAACAGAAUAACUCAGCAUUUUUGAAAAGCCAGUGGCUUUCAAACUGUUUGUCAGAGGCCCUAGUAGGUCUUGGUUGCCCUCCUGCUCCUUUUAGCAGAAGAACAAGGAGGACUAGUGGCUAUGCCUGACUAAAUCUCACUGUCUCUUUUGCCUCUUUUUUGCCCUGUGGCAGUGUUCUUUUACAUAGACUCCAUUAUUUUAGCUUAAAAACAGCAAGGCAUAUUCCAUUUCCCUGCUCAAGGAGACAGAAAAAGUCAACAAAACAACCCCAGUAGAUAAUUUUCAUUUAUCUACUUUUGAAAUAGGAAAAAAAUAAAAAAACCAAAAACCAGCCCAAAUAAAGAAUGGGAUUCCUCCUGUUACAAACCCCAGUAAGUCAAUCUACAAAAACUUUGAAGAUGAGAAAUAUGUUGUUUAAAAAAAAAAAAAGUAUUACCCACUUAACACAGUACAUACUUUUUCCUAUAUAAGAAACUAGACAAACAUUAAAAUAGUUAAGUCUUUUAAAAGGGCAAAAUUCUGCAAAAAAAAUAUUACUCAACACUACUAAGGUCAGAUUAUACAUUAUGCCAGUGCAUUCAAUUGCACAAGUUUUGCAACAUGACAAUGGUCUGGGAUGUGUAUGUGCAGGUGUUUAUGUCUAUUUGAGGGAAACAGUGCAAGAAUACUAAGAGUGACCAUUGCCAUUUCAAAGGGAUAUUUCACAAAUAAUCAAACAAAACCCCUACAAAUAUCAGUACACAUCUCAAAUACUGCAAGUCAUAUUCUACAGCCCUUGACAUUAAAAAAAAAGAAAAGAAAAA
Molecule: long non-coding RNA, 15020 nt
Organism: Passer domesticus (house sparrow)
Lineage: Eukaryota; Metazoa; Chordata; Aves; Passeriformes; Passeridae
Exons: 3
Source: RefSeq, a predicted model, not a curated record